GUAAACGGCGGCCGUAACUAUAACGGUCCUAAGGUAGCGAAAUUCCUUGUCGGGUAAGUUCCGACCCGCACGAAAGGCGUAAUGAUUUGGGCACUGUCUCAACAAUGCACCCGGUGAAAUUGAAAUACCAGUGAAGAUGCUGGUUACCUGCGCCAGGACGGAAAGACCCCAUGGAGCUUUACUCCAGCUUGAUACUGGGAUUCGGUACUGCAUGUACAGGAUAGGUGGGAGACUGAGAAAGAAGGACGCCAGUCCUUUUGGAGUCACUGUUGGGAUACCACCCUUGCAGUAUUGGAUUUCUAACCAACAGCCAUGAUCUGGUUGGGGGACAAUGUCAGGUGGGGAGUUUGACUGGGGCGGUCGCCUCCGAAAGGGUAUCGGAGGCGCUCAAAGGUUCCCUCAGAAUGGUUGGAAACCAUUCGAAGAGUGCAAAGGCAGAAGGGAGCUUGACUGCGACACCGACGGGUGGAGCAGGUACGAAAGUAGGACUUAGUGAUCCGGUGGUAUAAAGUGGGAUUGCCAUCGCUCAACGGAUAAAAGCUACCCUGGGGAUAACAGGCUUAUCACUCCCAAGAGUUCACAUCGACGGAGUGGUUUGGCACCUCGAUGUCGGCUCAUCGCAUCCUGGGGCUGAAGUAGGUCCCAAGGGUUGGGCUGUUCGCCCAUUAAAGCGGUACGCGAGCUGGGUUCAGAACGUCGUGAGACAGUUCGGUCCCUAUCCGGCGCAGGCGGAGGAAAUUUGAUAGGAGCUGUCCUUAGUACGAGAGGACCGGGAUGGACGGACCACUGGUGGAUCUGUUGUAUUACCAAAUGCAUAGCAGAGUAGCCAAGUCUGGAAGGGAUAAACGCUGAAGGCAUCUAAGCGUGAAGCCCCCCUAAAGAUAAGAUUUCCCAUAGAGUAAUCUAGUAAGACCCCUUGAAGACGACGAGGUAGAUAGGGCAGAGGUGGAAGUGCGGCAACGUAUGGAGCUGACUGUUACUAAUCGGUCGAGGCUUUAACCAA
This 1003-nucleotide ribosomal RNA is filed under the name human gut metagenome. RNAcentral's name for it is "bacterial LSU rRNA". It matches the Rfam family "Bacterial large subunit ribosomal RNA", at positions 1923 to 2925 of the family's 2925-position model. The record is from RNAcentral.